GCAACUUAUCAAUUACCUUUGAUUUUUAUCAAUAGCAUGCCCGGUGGGUAAUGUACGGCUAGGGCAUAGUUACCUGCACCAAGCUCUGAGCACUAUCGCGUCCUUAUGGGUGCUAGAUGCCACCCUGCUUGUAUGGCUUAAGCCACACCACCUAUGGUCUACUCCACUCCACUCUGUAUUUGCCCUCCAUUAAAAAUUAGUUCGAACUCGAAAUUCGACCUACAAAUCACAAGAAACCAUGCUUCUAAAUUGUUUAGUGUAAAAAGAUUGAUGC
RNAcentral lists this long non-coding RNA (274 nucleotides) under Vitis vinifera (wine grape). RNAcentral's name for it is "long non-coding RNA (VVIN_LNC007777)". Lineage: Eukaryota; Viridiplantae; Streptophyta; Magnoliopsida; Vitales; Vitaceae. The record is from RNAcentral.